AGUGAACGCUGGCGGCAGGCCUAACACAUGCAAGUCGAACGGCAGCACAGUAAGAGCUUGCUCUUACGGGUGGCGAGUGGCGGACGGGUGAGGAAUACAUCGGAAUCUACUUUUUCGUGGGGGAUAACGUAGGGAAACUUACGCUAAUACCGCAUACGACCUACGGGUGAAAGCAGGGGAUCUUCGGACCUUGCGCGAUUGGAUGAGCCGAUGUCGGAUUAGCUAGUUGGCGGGGUAAAGGCCCACCAAGGCGACGAUCCGUAGCCGGUCUGAGAGGAUGAUCGGCCGCCCUGGAACUUGGACACGGUCCAUGCUCCUGCGGGAGGCAGCAGUCGGGAAUGUUAGGCAGUGGGCGGGAGCCUGAUCCAGCCAGACCGAGUGGGUGAAGGAGGCGUUCGGGUUGUAAAGACCUUUUGUUGGGAAAGAAAAGCAGCCGGUUAAUACCACGCUGUUCUGACGGUACCCAAAGAAUAAGCACCGGCUAACUUCGUG
This 492-nucleotide ribosomal RNA is filed under the name uncultured bacterium. Its description in RNAcentral is "partial 16S ribosomal RNA". It matches the Rfam family "Bacterial small subunit ribosomal RNA", at positions 29 to 507 of the family's 1533-position model. The record is from RNAcentral.